Long non-coding RNA from Leptinotarsa decemlineata (Colorado potato beetle), 513 nucleotides. RefSeq lists it as uncharacterized. The record is from RefSeq and is a predicted model, not a curated record. NCBI's taxonomy places the organism in Eukaryota, Metazoa, Arthropoda, Insecta, Coleoptera, Chrysomelidae.
AUUGCUGUCACACAAAGUGCCACAUCAAACUCUAAUGCAAUUAUGAAGGUUAUGUAACAGUUUUCCUCUACUCGAAGUAAUGUGACUUCGGGUGAUACGAAUCAUUUUAACCAAAUGAGCUGAUUCAUUUCAUGUUCACGAGCUAUAAUAGAAGCCCUCGGGAAGGAAUCUGUCGCUGGGAAAACUUGGAAAUUCGUAGAAUGUCAAAAUGUUGCUUGAAGUGCUUGACGAAAUUUUUACAUUGAAGAAUUGGAUAUUAUUCGUGUCGACAUACUUUUGCGUUAUAUCUCUGGUGUUCUGUGGUGCUUGUAUCAAAGAUAUAACGCAGUCUGCCAUUCGAGUGUCAAAAAAUUUAAGUGAGUCAUCGACAGAAAACAUUUUCGUAGAAGAGGCCGAUCAGAAAAAAAAUCUAAAAAUGAAAACGUACAAUUUUCAAUAGAGUUUUGAAUACUGGUAAUGAUGUACAUAUAAAUUUAUAUUGUUAUUCUUAAAAAUAAACAUAUGAAUCAUUAA